This 1343-nucleotide ribosomal RNA is filed under the name uncultured bacterium. RNAcentral describes it as "16S ribosomal RNA". It matches the Rfam family "Bacterial small subunit ribosomal RNA", at positions 28 to 1378 of the family's 1533-position model. The record is from RNAcentral.
GACGAACGCUUGCGGCGUGCUUAACACAUGCAAGUCGAACGGAAAGGCCCUGCUUUUGUGGGGUGCUCGAGUGGCGAACGGGUGAGUAACAUGUGAGUAACCUGCCCUUGACUUUGGGAUAACUUCAGGAAACUGGGGCUAAUACCGGAUAGGAGCUCCUGCUGCAUGGUGGGGGUUGGAAAGUUUCGGCGGUUGGGGAUGGACUCGCGGCUUAUCAGCUUGUUGGUGGGGUAGUGGCUUACCAAGGCUUUGACGGGUAGCCGGCCUGAGAGGGUGACCGGCCACAUUGGGACUGAGAUACGGCCCAGACUCCUACGGGAGGCAGCAGUGGGGAAUAUUGCACAAUGGGCGGAAGCCUGAUGCAGCAACGCCGCGUGCGGGAUGACGGCCUUCGGGUUGUAAACCGCUUUCGCCUGUGACGAAGCGUGAGUGACGGUAAUGGGUAAAGAAGCACCGGCUAACUACGUGCCAGCAGCCGCGGUGAUACGUAGGGUGCGAGCGUUGUCCGGAUUUAUUGGGCGUAAAGGGCUCGUAGGUGGUUGAUCGCGUCGGAAGUGUAAUCUUGGGGCUUAACCCUGAGCGUGCUUUCGAUACGGGUUGACUUGAGGAAGGUAGGGGAGAAUGGAAUUCCUGGUGGAGCGGUGGAAUGCGCAGAUAUCAGGAGGAACACCAGUGGCGAAGGCGGUUCUCUGGGCCUUUCCUGACGCUGAGGAGCGAAAGCGUGGGGAGCGAACAGGCUUAGAUACCCUGGUAGUCCACGCUGUAAACGGUGGGUACUAGGUGUGGGGUCCAUUCCACGGGUUCCGUGCCGUAGCUAACGCUUUAAGUACCCCGCCUGGGGAGUACGGCCGCAAGGCUAAAACUCAAAGGAAUUGACGGGGCCCCGCACAAGCGGCGGAGCAUGCGGAUUAAUUCGAUGCAACGCGUAGAACCUUACCUGGGUUUGACAUGGAUCGGGAGUGCUCAGAGAUGGGUGUGCCUCUUUUGGGGUCGGUUCACAGGUGGUGCAUGGCUGUCGUCAGCUCGUGUCGUGAGAUGUUGGGUUAAGUCCCGCAACGAGCGCAACCCUUGUUCACUGUUGCCAGCACGUUAUGGUGGGGACUCAGUGGAGACCGCCGGGGUCAACUCGGAGGAAGGUGGGGAUGACGUCAAGUCAUCAUGCCCCUUAUGUCCAGGGCUUCACGCAUGCUACAAUGGCUGGUACAGAGAGUGGCGAGCCUGUGAGGGUGAGCGAAUCUCGGAAAGCCGGUCUCAGUUCGGAUUGGGGUCUGCAACUCGACCUCAUGAAGUCGGAGUCGCUAGUAAUCGCAGAUCAGCAACGCUGCGGUGAAUACGUUCCCGGG